UUGGAAGACGUGGUGCUGUUGAAACGGU
This 28-nucleotide non-coding RNA is filed under the name Homo sapiens (human). The record is from RNAcentral. Lineage: Eukaryota; Metazoa; Chordata; Mammalia; Primates; Hominidae.